CAGUGACGUGGACAUCAUGCAAAGACUGCCAGACUCUGUAAUACUGUAAAUGAUCAGUGACUCAGGUUAACACUAAACUUUAAACAGUCCCUCUGUGUCUCUGUGUGUGCUGAACAUCUAGGAUUGAGUCAGGCUGCAUUGACUGUGGGACUUUUCUGUGUUAAAAGCAAGUUGAAGACGGCUCAGAAACAUUUGAAGAUUAAAAUGUAACAUUAUGGCUGCUGGUGGUGUGUAAAGCCUCUACUCAGCUGUAUUUUUGUUACUAAUUUAUGUUUGUUGUUGUUUAACACAGAUUUCAGAAGAGCAAAGAUGAGCACUGUUGCUUAAUCCUUAAUAGUUUAACUGGAUUGGAAAUCAAAAAAUCCUGAUUCUUCUUCCACAGAAGUUUCAUUUGUCAGUGUGGAUCUGCUGAGUCACCUGAAGAACUCAUUUCAUUCAUUCUCCACGAUGUUGAUUUACAGAAACGUUUCACAGGAACUGAUUCCUCCCAAAGGGUGAACUAGUGUGUUUCCAUACAUUAUCUCUGUAUGAAUGUACUUCUUAAAUGAAGGCAAGCGGCGUUUGUCCUGUUUUGUUCCUCAGGUACAGCACGUGAUAUUAAGGGCAGGCGGUCAUCACUGGGGGAAGACAAGAAGCAGACGUACUUCCAAGAGGGAGCUGCAGUGAGGACACAGCCUGGUCACUGAGGUCAGAGGAGGCGCUGAAAGGUUUCCCUAAUAGUUCCUGGUGAAUCAAAGCAGGACCAUAAAGGUUGCUGGACUGCAUGAUGGCCUUACCCCUGAGCAGUCAUCCUGUUAAAGGACCAACCAGUUAGAAGCUGUUUUCAAAGUAGCUGAGCAGAUUUCAUCUCAACAGACAAAGCUGAUGGCAGAAGAUGUUUGGAGAAGAACUUCAGGCCGUGGACUGAAAAGAUCAAAGCAGCUCGUGCUCUGUCUGCUUCCAUUCUGAUGGCAAGAAGAAGAAGAAGAAGAAGACUUCAGCGAAGUGGCGUUCAUGGUCUCAGUGGACAGUCAUGGUCACACACUGCAUGUGGUUAUAAAAGCAACAUGUCUGUUCACCACAACAAUCAAGAUGUGUAAUAUCAGUGCAGCUACGGUUUGUUCUUGAACAUCAGUUCUGUUUUAUACUUUGACCACUUAGAACAAAAAAGUGUUGUUUUCAGAUUCUUUCUUAUAAAUCUGUAAAGCACCUGCUCAUUUUUUAUUACAGUUAGUUUCACAUAAAUAGUAGUGUUUCCUUUAUGAUCUUUUAAUGCUUACACUACACUGUGCACGUCUACAUUAGAGACAUUUCUGUUACCUAUUUAUGAGACUGGGCUGCUUGACUACAAUUUGGAAAUGGAUGCAAAAUCGUGCUAUUGUUUGUUUUUUAAUAUGAUUCAAUUCAAUAAAACUUUAUUGAUCCUGAAGGUUGACCCCGAGGGAAAUUUGGGUUAAGGCCAACACAGGACGUGUCUGACUAAGCAAAGAUUAAUCUGAGCCCAUUUCUACCUGUCUCUACUGUUUCAACUGUAAUUGUCAGGAUAUAUAUUUAUUCCAGCUCUCACAGGACAAAGGAAUGACUCAGACUUGUCAAAUGUUCUUUGACUUGAUACACAAUUUGAAGUUCACAAUUUUCUUACAAAUAAAACUAUAAUG
Long non-coding RNA from Oreochromis aureus, 1637 nucleotides. RefSeq lists it as uncharacterized. The transcript is spliced from 4 exons. The record is from RefSeq and is a predicted model, not a curated record. NCBI's taxonomy places the organism in Eukaryota, Metazoa, Chordata, Actinopteri, Cichliformes, Cichlidae.